CCCGGUGAACUCACCUGGAUGGCCAUACCCGUUCCCUUUCCGAACACGGCCGUCAAGCAUCCAGGGCCGAUGGUAGUCCUUCAAGGGCGAGAGUAGGUCAUCGCCGGGU
RNAcentral lists this ribosomal RNA (109 nucleotides) under Betaproteobacteria bacterium. RNAcentral also lists the same sequence under 1 other name. Lineage: Bacteria; Pseudomonadati; Pseudomonadota; Betaproteobacteria. The record is from RNAcentral.